RNAcentral lists this long non-coding RNA (244 nucleotides) under Physcomitrium patens. RNAcentral's name for it is "long non-coding RNA (PPAT_LNC005216)". Lineage: Eukaryota; Viridiplantae; Streptophyta; Bryopsida; Funariales; Funariaceae. The record is from RNAcentral.
AACCAAUCUAGAUUCAUACAAUUUUUGUAAUCACAGAAUUCUUCUAUCGAAACACAAACAACUCCCAAUAAACAACAAUCAUAAUCUUCCAUCCAUAAUCAAUCUUCCAAUAACUUCUCAUAUAAUUCAAUCACACAAUACUCCAAUUACAUAAUCAAUAAUUCAUAAAUCAAUCUUUAAUUUAUUCCACAGAUUCACCUCUUAGUAUUCAAAAACUAUCCAUUACUCUUCAACAACAAAGAAA